CCUACGGGAGACAGCAGUGAGGAAUAUUGGUCAAUGGACGAGAGUCUGAACCAGCCAAGUAGCGUGAAGGAUGACUGCCCUAUGGGUUGUAAACUUCUUUUAUAUGGGAAUAAAACGUUCCACGUGUGGGAUUUUGUAUGUACCAUAUGAAUAAGGAUCGGCUAACUCCGUGCCAGCAGCCGCGGUAAUACGGAGGAUCCGAGCGUUAUCCGGAUUUAUUGGGGUUAAAGGGAGCGUAGGUGGAUUGUUAAGUCAGUUGUGAAAGUUUGCGGCUCAACCGUAAAAUUGCAGUUGAAACUGGCAGUCUUGAGUACAGUAGAGGUGGGCGGAAUUCGUGGUGUAGCGGUGAAAUGCUUAGAUAUCACGAAGAACUCCGAUUGCGAAGGCAGUUCACUGGACUGCAACUGACACUGAGGCUCGAAAGUGUGGGUAUCAAACAGGAUUAGAUACCCGAGUAGUC
Molecule: ribosomal RNA, 460 nt
Filed under: uncultured bacterium
Lineage: Bacteria
Description: partial 16S ribosomal RNA
Rfam family: Bacterial small subunit ribosomal RNA
Source: RNAcentral